Panicum hallii is the source of this 1123-nucleotide long non-coding RNA. RefSeq lists it as uncharacterized. The transcript has 6 exons. The record is from RefSeq and is a predicted model, not a curated record. NCBI's taxonomy places the organism in Eukaryota, Viridiplantae, Streptophyta, Magnoliopsida, Poales, Poaceae.
GUGGAUGCAGUUCCCUACGUCCCGUAGUUGUUUUCUGCGCAAAAUCCUCCGAAACCGAGAUACACAGAGUUGUACCAGAGCUACCCACCACAACCCGACAUCCCAUGACCGGACCACCUUCUCCCCAGCGCUGCAGCCGAAGCAAAAAGGGCUCAAGCAGCCGAGGCUCUGCCCGGCAGCGAGACCACUGAAAGUUGGAGCCCCCUGGCGGAAAGGGAAGCCGACGGGAAGGCGAGAAGGAACAACUCCCCCGGACCAUCUGUGGAGUUGACCGAAUCUCUGCCUUUGGUCCCGUAGGGUCAUCGGGUAGUGCGCAAACAAAAAGCGCAUGUAGUUGAAUCCUCCAGUCUGUCUGCUUCUUCUCCCGACCCCAAGCGCCAAGAGGUGGGAACGGACCCAUCGACUACUUCAACAGGGAUGGUUACCAUUGACAUGGCGGGUACCUUGCAAUCAGCUGGUGUGAGCCCACCGCUGGCAACGAGCACCGUGGUUGAAGUACCACAGGCCUUAAGAGUAAAGAAAGCGGUCAUGAAGAAAUCAUCACUGUCUGUAACCGACAUGAGGCACAAGCCAAAGCCUGCUGCAGCUGCCCCAGCCCCCGAGCCACCAGCCCCAAAGGAGCCCGUACCCGAGGAGCCAGCCCACGAGGAGGACACAACAUUGCCCGACCUGCCACCCCAUGAGCCCCAGCAAGCCGAAGCCAGAGCUGGUGGUGAAGAAUAAGUCGAGACCACUGACACCGCUCCUGCAGAUGGCACAAGUACCCAACAACCAUCAACUGAAGAUGCUGCAAGGACCACAAGGAGCACUGACAAGCUGCAAAUGUCUGGGAGGGGAUACCAAAAUAUCAUCACCAUAGAUCUAGUGGAUGAUCUGAUCUUGACGGACAACAACAUCCGAUACUUCAAGAAGAUCUCCAAACAGAUGUACAAUUUUACCCUGGAGCUCGCUGCAAAAGAAAAAUGCAUAUCCGAAGAGCAGACAAAGAACAUUUAUAUUCAGAGAGAGCUCGACAAGCUGAAGCUAGAGUGGACGCGAGAGACAUGGCUCCUCAAGAACGAUCUCCGCAAUCUCGAGAAGGCCAACUCCGAACUCCAAGAGCAACUCAAAGAACAGAAGAAGG